GUCCUUCUGUUGCAUCUCUGUCGACAUUACAGCAUCUGUGCUGUUACGUGACACUUUCUAAGGCUUCUAUUGGCUCUCUAAAGCGUUCAGAAAGCGGAAUGACAUGUCUCAUGUCUCUGGGCAAAGUACAGCAGCAGAGUUUGUAAGUGGCCUGACUUCUCCAUUUUUUUCUUUCAGUCUUUGAAUGAAUACAACGUUGUCCAGUUGGAAUAUUAUCGCUAUUUUACGAGAAAAAUAGCAUAAAAAAUUAAUUUUAAACAGCGUUUGACAUGCUUCUAAGUACAGUAAUGGAAUAUUUUGCAUUUUUUUGUCACGAAAUGCGCUUCGGAUAGUGACCUGAACGCACGAACAAAACGGAGGUAUUUGGAUAUAACUAUGGAUUAUUUGGAACCAAAACAACAUUUGUUGUUGAAGUAGAAGUCCUGGGAGUGCAUUCUGACGAAGAACAGCAAAGAUAGAGGAUUUUGCAAUAAAUGUCCGUUGACAACUCUGCUCGGGGGGCUUCAGCGAUGCAUGGAUUUCACCCCCAGGAUUGGUUUCUCUACGAGUGGACCUUUUGAACCAGCACCUACAGCUCCGCCAGUGCCUGAGUCUUUGUCUGCUGUUCAGACUCCUCCAUGGAGGAAGGCAUUGAAGUUGUCGAUGUUAAAUAUGACAUGUUUUAUCACAUUAUUUUUCCUCAACUACUAUGGUUCUGGAAGCCAUGAUAGAACACUGAUUCACAGCAUGAUGUGCCUAUGACACCUGUUCGGCCCUGCUAAGGACAUCUGUGAAGACCACCUCACCUUUCUCCCGGCCCCUCUCCAGCCCUGCUAAGGACCUCUGUGAAGACCACCUCACCUUUCUCCCGGCCCCUCUCCAGCCCUGCUAAGGACCUCUGUGAAGACCACCUCACCUUUCUCCCGGACCCUCUCCAGCCCUGCUAAGGACCUCUGUGAAGACCACCUCACCUUUCUCCCGGACCCUCUCCAGCCCUGCUAAGUACCACCUCCCCUUUCUCCCGGCCCCUCUCCAGCCCUGCUAAGGACCUCUGUGAAAACCACCUCACCUUUCUCCCGGACCCCUCUGCUACAGCCUAUAUGAAGACCACCACUGCCUCUGCUGUCUCUCAGGGCACCGCCAGCUCUGCUAGAGUCUCUGUAAAUGCUCUCCUCUGCUAUAGCCUCGAAGAGGAGCCUCAGUAAAUAACAUUUUGUCAUUUCUUAACUUAUAUCAUUACACCAUUAGAACAUGGCAGAAACAAAACACUGCUGACUUCUCUGCUGCCAGCCCCACCCAGGCGGCUCCCACUACAGUCCAAACUGCUUCCUGCAGUGCCAAGUCUGCUGCCACCAGUACUUGGCCUGCUUUACCCACAGCCCAAUCGGCUGCCAGCCAACUCCACCCAUUCAAAAAAUCCGUCACUAGUUUCCAUAUAGACUCUGCUGUACUCCAGCCUUUUUAAAAUCUUAUUUCUAAAAUUAGGGUCUCUAUUCAAUCAGAUCGAGCGUUAACCUGCGGUUGCUCUUGUGUGUCACAAACCACUCCCUUCCCACUGGUUGAAUCAACGUUGUUUCCACGUCAGUUCAAUGCAAUUACGUUGAACCAACGUGGAAUAGACGUUGAAUUGAUGUCUGUGCCCAGUGGGAUGUGACGUAUUUAUAAUUAUAUCAGGUAAUAUGCAGUCCACAAGAAACCGCAACAGAUAAUUGAUCAUUUAAGAUACUAAUUGUAUAAACAAGGUAACGGGAGUAUUGUACAGUAAUAAACCAACCUCAUUAGAACAACAAUUUUUUGUUAGGAUUAUGCUACAAUAGUCGUUCCAUUAACUCAGGUGAUAUUAAAUUCUUUAUUUUUGGUUAGUGGUUGUUUAGAAAUGUUAUUUCUGGUCGAGGAGGG
This 1878-nucleotide long non-coding RNA is filed under the name Salmo salar (Atlantic salmon). RNAcentral's name for it is "lncRNA (ENSSSAG00000102053.1, ENSSSAG00075015080.1)". Lineage: Eukaryota; Metazoa; Chordata; Actinopteri; Salmoniformes; Salmonidae. The record is from RNAcentral.